UAAAUCAAUUGUUUCUUCUGAAGCUAAUAAACAUAUUAUUCAAACAACAAUUAAAGAUGAAAAUGAUAAACAAGAGACUAAAAACCAAAUAUCUGAAAACUCUGUUCGUAAAAGAAGAGGUCAUUUGAUGAAAGCACAGACUGAAUGCUCUGAUUUAAAUCGUCCGAUAUUUACAUGCGAUGAAUGGAAAUCUAUCUCUAAAAGGAGGUCCCGUUCGUUAAGUAAAAG
Oppia nitens is the source of this 228-nucleotide long non-coding RNA. RefSeq lists it as uncharacterized. The record is from RefSeq and is a predicted model, not a curated record. NCBI's taxonomy places the organism in Eukaryota, Metazoa, Arthropoda, Arachnida, Sarcoptiformes, Oppiidae. The transcript is spliced from 3 exons.